GAACAAUAGGGAACAGGUUUUUCACGUGUAGAAGAAUUGCAACAAGUUACAGCCACAACUGAAAACAGUCGUAGUGUCCACAGAUUUGGAGGUGCUGUUGAAAGAGGUUUGCUGAGUUGCUGCAGUGCAAGUUGUAUAAGAUGCCGGGGAAUCACUGGCCCAAGACCUUCCAAAGUGGAGGAGGAACAUCCUUCAAGCACCUCGAAACUUGCCAUUGGGAGAAAAUGAAAGCCAGGAGAAAACAGUGAAAGGAGAAUACUGCCACACCAACACCUUCUCCACCCCAUUCCAUGACCACCACCUGUCCCAAGUGUGAAAGAGCCUGUGGUAGUCUUAUCAGUCUGUAUAGCCACCUGUGGACUCAUCCUAAGAGUGAAAAAGAGUCAUCUUCAUCUGAGAGUAUAGCCCAUAACGGCAGAGAAAGCCUGUUCGGAUUGGGGGACACCCACCACCUGAAGGUAAAUCCUGGGCAUCGUGGGAAGAAACCAGAAUGGCACCUAUUCUAUACAUCUCUCCAUAACAUCUGCGGACAAACUCCCAGCUUUGAAAGAAGUGCUCUCCUGACCCUCUGAGGAUGACUACCAAGGUCUCAGAAGAAACUCCAGCAAAGCCACCUUCUGCACCCCUGCCAGUCCAGGUACUGAUGCCUCUGGGAGAACCAUAGACAUAGAGAGUGUGGGAGCACAAUCUGAUGAGCACUUUACCGUGAUACCUCAACAGCUGGCUGAGGGGGAAAAAAACAACCUAUUGGCACUCAGGAGACUGACAGAGACCAGGACCCUGCUCAGCCCCAGACAAUCAAACACUUCAUCUAAAUGCACAGGAUGCAACAGUAGUGGCAGACAGGCAACUGUGAUGCAAUGGCUUUGAUUGCCUAGAAGCUACAGCACUGCAAUGAAUUACAACCAUCAGUCUGACUCCAUGGAUAAGUUGGCAAUUGCCAUGGUGAUCCAGGCCCAGCACCUUCAGGGCCUGUUGAAGAUGCACACAUGUCUGCAAGCCGGUGCCCAGCUACUGAUCCCCAGAACAGAAGACAUGGCAACAGGGCAGCAGGGACAUUGACUCCGGUCCAGGAAUCCCCUCAAAACCAAGAUACAUGGCAGUGCCAGGAGGCACAAAUUGGAAGAAGUCAUGUUCAGUUUGAAACAUUAACUAUUUUUCUCUGUCUGCAGAUCAUUGCCAGAUUUGCUAUUUCCAACAUUUCAGAUGUCUAACCUGCAUGGAAUUUUACCUCUAUUUUACAACAAGCUAGAUUACAUUUGAAUAAACAAUAAACAAACAAUUUCUGGUACUAAUGAAUGGCAGUUAGAAGGUCUGGAUUUCCCAUCUUAUUGAUAGUCAAAUAGAAGAAGAGGUUGGCAGAAGAAUGUCUUAUAGUGCAGCAAUAGUGUCCCUACCCCUGGACCAGGAAGCCUGCAUUCAAGUCCCACCUGCUCUAGAGAUAUGUGAUAGUAACUUGAAACAAGUUGAUGUACUUACAGACUGUGCUGCGUUUUCUGGUGAUUAGUUACAAAGUUGCAUUGAGUGAUGACUGAGAAUAACUCCCUUUCAGUAAGGGAAAUUUUACUAAGAAAAGGAACAAACUAACAUGCAAUAAAUAGUUGAACAAAAGUAUCAAAUUGCAACUGGCAGCUGUGAGAUUGAGCACAAAUAUGUGUAUGCAAUUGUUCCAUUCAGGGAAUGUUUUGCUUUGGAAUUUAUUUGUUCAAACUAUUGAAUCUGAGUUCCUGUUAAGUAACUGUGCAUUGUAUGAAAUGCAGUAAAUAAUUCAAGUAAUUUUUCUUCAGUGUUUGUUUUACUUUAAGGCUGGCAGUAGAUUCAUCCACUUUCACUACUGUUCUGUUCUAAAUGUGAAAUAUUCAAUAAUGUUAUUCA
Molecule: long non-coding RNA, 1875 nt
Organism: Stegostoma tigrinum
Lineage: Eukaryota; Metazoa; Chordata; Chondrichthyes; Orectolobiformes; Stegostomatidae
Exons: 5
Source: RefSeq, a predicted model, not a curated record